This is a non-coding RNA of Paramuricea clavata, 96 nucleotides long. NCBI's taxonomy places the organism in Eukaryota, Metazoa, Cnidaria, Anthozoa, Malacalcyonacea, Plexauridae. The record is from the annotation of a GenBank genome assembly.
CAAAGUUGAUCGUGUUUAUGACGUCGAAUAUCGACGUCAUAAACACAAAGUUGUUCGUGUUUAUGACGUCGAAUAUCGACGUCAUAAACACCAAAG